GACGAACGCUGGCGGCGUGCCUAAUACAUGCAAGUAGAACGCUGAAGGAGGAGCUUACUUCUCUGGAUGAGUUGCGAACGGGUGAGUAACGCGUAGGUAACCUGCCUGGUAGCGGGGGAUAACUAUUGGAAACGAUAGCUAAUACCGCAUAAUAGUAGUUGUUGCAUGACAACUGUUUGAAAGGUGCAAUUGCAUCACUACCAGAUGGACCUGCGUUGUAUUAGCUAGUUGGUGGGGUAAGGGCUCACCAAGGCGACGAUACAUAGCCGACCUGAGAGGGUGAUCGGCCACACUGGGACUGAGACACGGCCCAG
RNAcentral lists this ribosomal RNA (314 nucleotides) under uncultured bacterium. RNAcentral's name for it is "bacterial SSU rRNA". It matches the Rfam family "Bacterial small subunit ribosomal RNA", at positions 28 to 334 of the family's 1533-position model. The record is from RNAcentral.